UAUCUGUGAGCCUUUAUUUAGAAGUAUCACGUGUGAGUAUUUUUAAUAGUGUGUUUAAUUAACUCUCGAUUUUGAAACGAAAUAGAAAAAAGUUAUUUGUGGGUUUUUAUUGUGAAAUUUCAAAUAAUACAAUGCCCAGACGUAAGAGAGGAGGAGAUUUGGCCAGUUCUGCAGCGAAACGGCGGAAACAAAAAGAAUCUCGAAGAAAUGAAACGGAAUAAGAGCACGAAGCACGUUUACAGAAUCAACGGACCAGAAUGAGUAACCUGAGAAGCAGAAGAAGCGAAGAAAGAACAGCAUUUAAAAGUACUGAAGAGUCGAGAAUUUUAUAAGAUAAUCUAACAAAGGAAGCAUUCCACUACGAACCGACGAAAAAAUAUUACAAUCAUAAAUACGUUGUUAUUGGAAAAAUGAAUAACGUACGUUUGCCAGUUUGCCAUGUAUAUAUACUCCGGACAAUAAAAUGAAAAAUGUUGUUUAUAAACAAGUAUUGUAAAUAAUGAGA
This is a long non-coding RNA of Diorhabda sublineata, 505 nucleotides long. RefSeq lists it as uncharacterized. The transcript has 2 exons. Lineage: Eukaryota; Metazoa; Arthropoda; Insecta; Coleoptera; Chrysomelidae. The record is from RefSeq and is a predicted model, not a curated record.